AUUUUGUUUGGAGACUGCUAACUAGGGAAGAAAAAAAUAGAUUAUGUAAAUUUACAGUAUUAAAGAAAUAGAAAGCAUUAAACAUUAUUUGGUAUCCCUUACCAAUCAGUUUUUUUCUACUGGAAUAUUAGCAUGUAAAUACACACGAUUUUGGAUUUUUGGUCAAAAAAAGUGAAUUGGUCAAAUACACUGCUUAUGGGAUGAUUGAAAAGUGUUAAGCCUAAAAUACCAUCAGAAUAUUAACUUUAUGACUGUAUAUAGGAUCAAUGUUCCAAAUAAUUACUACGAUACAUAGCGUGGAAAUAGACUUGCCCUCCCUUCACCCCCAAGGAAUUGAGUAAUUGGUCAGAAAUCUGGGAAUCUACUGGAUCACUAACUAUUUGUGUCACACACAGGGUGCAAGCUUUUAAGAUGUUUUUGUUAGAUGGUACUUAAAACCUGUUAGACUUAACAAAUUAAAUCUUUGUGGGAAACUAUGCAGGAAGAUGGGCACCUUCCUACACUAUUGGUGGACUUGCCAUAAACUAAAACCUUUUUGGAACAAGCCCAAGCACUACUCUAACAAGUAUUGGGAAAACCGUUCCUACUUGAACCUUGGGCUCUUUUACUCUCAAACCCUUGAGACCAGCUCACCAGAAAUAAAAAUAAAUUAGCAGUUAGGAUAGCACUGACAGCAUGAAGAGCAAUAGGAGAACUAUGGGUAAAAAGUUGAGUACCCUCCUCCACCACUGCAAUCCGCAAGAUUAAAGAAGCACUAGACAUGGACAGACUGACUGCUCAACUGAAUGGCACCCCUAAAUCAUUCAUUUUGGAUCCCUGGCUACCCAAUGGAAUCUGACCCCCCUCGGGUUAUAUUCCAUGUAGAACUUUUCAUAGACCCACCAUCACCCAACACUAUUUGAGACAAGUUGUUUCCUUUCCUAGCCCCUUCCUUCUCUCCUUCAUCCUAUCUCUACACCUUCCAAUCGUCAAACUUCUCUAACCUUCUCUUAUCUUUCUUUCUUUCUACACAUGUAAAUAGUUUCACAUCCCACAUUCUUCCCACUACCUUCCCCAAUGUCCAGGUUCAAUAUAUAUAUAUUUCUAAUUCUCAAACCCAGACUAUUAACCAGCCAGCAUUAUUAGAAUCUGUCAGAAAAUACUCCAGAUUUUGGUUAGCAACUCUCCCACCUGUUUAUUGUCCUUAUUCAAUUACAAUCCCUCCCUUUCAUGUAUCACCUAUGUAAGUACAUUGUAUUCAAAUCUUUGCAAAUUCGGUAAAGCCUAUAUUGUAAAUUUCAUGCUUCCUUAUUGUUGUACACCUAUUUUUUUUUUUUUACAAAACUUAAAAAAAGUUAUUUAAAUAAAUAAAGGAAAAUAUUGCUCAUAAGGGUUGAAUAUAGUUGCUUAAAUAAAACCAGUCAUAUAUACUUUGUUGGUCAUUACAAGCAGUUUGUAUGUAAGCCCUGGGGUGUGCUCAGAAAUGCAGCCUUGCAUUUUUGAGUAUUCUGCUGGAACACAAGGUCUGACUACAGCCUCAGUAAAUAUUUCCUAACAUAUUUAUUUAAUUUGCACAAUCAAUUUGUUUAUUGUAUAUUGUUUUAGAGAUGUCCAGUUAUUUGGAAUAAAACCAAUUGGUGUACAACCUGCACAGCCAAGUACCUGUCAAAAACCUGCAUUCUUUCCUUUAUAACCCUAUAUAAUACACUGAACAAAAUUAUAAAUGCAACACUUUUGUUUUUGUCCUCAUUUUUCAUGAGCUGAACCUAAAGACUUUUUCUUAAAGACUUUCAGUUUUCUUUGAGUUCAGCUCAUGAAAAAUGGAGGCAAAAACAAAAGUGUUGCGUUUUUAAUUUUGUUCAGUGUAAUUGUUUUUUCUGCGUAUUUGAAGUACAUGGGGUUCUGUCAAGUGAAAUUACACAUGAAAUACGCCUACUUGCAAUGAUUGCUUUUCUUUUAUCUUACCAAUGUGAAGUAAUUUGUUAAUGAUUGGUGAAGCCAUAGUAAAGGAUUGGUCAGUAGAUAAACACUGUAUUUAUUUUUUUUCGUUUUAUUUGAAAGCCAUUUAAUAAAGCAUACAACAGCUGAAUAUGUCACGUAAAACCAGUCUAUUGGAAACAUUAAUGUUGCAUGCAUUACUAAAUGAUAUAUAUUACAUACAUUAGUUUUUAUAU
Molecule: non-coding RNA, 2153 nt
Organism: Pelobates cultripes (western spadefoot toad)
Lineage: Eukaryota; Metazoa; Chordata; Amphibia; Anura; Pelobatidae
Source: the annotation of a GenBank genome assembly